Long non-coding RNA from Ananas comosus (pineapple), 1798 nucleotides. RefSeq lists it as uncharacterized. The transcript is spliced from 4 exons. The record is from RefSeq and is a predicted model, not a curated record. Lineage: Eukaryota; Viridiplantae; Streptophyta; Magnoliopsida; Poales; Bromeliaceae.
AAUUAGUUUGCUUUAGAAGUGAUUGAUGGAAGAAUUUCUGGUUGCUGAAAUUCCUAGUUAAUGUUGAUCAAAAUGAUCAACAUGAUGCCAAAUUGGAAAUUAAUUGCUUCCAAAUUAAUUUGACAACUUGUAGAGAUAUAUUAGAGUAAAUUGGAAGUGCUUGAGCGGACUUAAAGUGAGUUGGAUGUGCAAAGUAAGCUUCAAAGUGCUGCUGCAGCUAUUUGUUUUAGUGCAAGGACUGAAUUGUAAAAUUCAGGGUGGUAAUGCAGUUUUGCUGAGUUAGAGGGUUAAAGUGAAAUUGUUUGUCCUUAUCACUUAAUCCCUGUCAACUUACAUCUGCCCACAUAUCUGAGACUUAUCCCACAGCCCUUUUCACUUCUCUUUCCUCUCUCUCUCUCUACGUAGCAACAAGUAAGAAAAGGUUUGAGAGCUUGAUGUUGGCAGCUUAGAGGUUUGUUGGGCUGAGGAGAAGAUUUGAUCCAAGCAUGAAUUUCUGCCGAUUGGAAUUGCUAAACAAUCUGAAACAGCCUCUAAUCAAGGUAAACUUGAUUAGUAAUUAUUCAUAGAUAGGUUAAUCAGUUGGAGAGGAAGUUUAUAUGGAUUCUUGCUAUUAGAACAGCAAACUUGUGCUGUUGGUGCUGCCGAACUUAAAGGGGGAACCAUUUAAAGUUGUGAGCAAGUGAGUUCAGCAUCUAAUUAAGAUUGGUGAGUUGAAGUCAAGUUGUUGUGUUGUUGGUGCUGAGAUCAACUGGAUAAGAUCCUGGAUGCUUGGCCGAAAUGAAAACAAGCAGGGAUUCAGUUGAGAAGAUGAAGUUUGAGCUGACAAGAGUUUAGUUGAGAGGAAAACCUUGAAGAAGUUCCAAUUUCUGUGAUUAGCUUGGAGUUAAUUACAUCUGGACUGAUCUAUAUAGAGGAAGUAUGAAAGGAUUUCAUAUUGCUGAAAUUCAGCUUGAGAGCUGGGGCUUGAGUAGUUGAUGCUGAAUGAAAUUUGGAGAAAGCCUAAAUUAAGUGGCCGAAGUGAAGUGAAGGCUUGUAGGAGCUGCUAAGUUGAAAAAGAAUUCAACAAGGAAGCUUAAUUGCUGCUGGGACUGAAGCAAGUGCAUUGAUUAAUCAGCUAAGUGGCUGCAGUUGAGGUAAACUUGAUGUUAAUUCUGAAUAGAGUAGCGGACUAGCUGCUUUAAGACUGAUCUUAUGUAACUAAAGCCGAAAAUUGUGAAGCUCAAAUACAGAAUUUCAGCAUUGAACUCUAUCGACUAUUGGAGUUGGAACUAGCCAAUGGAGUAGUAGAUCUGGCAAAUUUCAGAUCAGAGAUGAUUAGAGCAAAGUUGAGCUUGAUUAGCUCUAAUCUUUAAAUGAAAUCGAGAGUAAAUUCACUCUGAUUUCUGUGUAGAAGAUCUGCCAGGAAAGUUAGCAAAGCAGUGAAGCAAGUGCAAAUUUCAGCAUGGAAGGUCGGCGACGCGUUAAUUACGGUAGAGGCCGUUCUAAUUCUAUUUGCACCAAAUCGCACGAGAUUGUUCUUGACACAGUUCGAGACGUGGAUUCUAGUUGUUGAUACCACUACAGGUGGGUGGUGCUAUCCGAAGUCAUCGAAUCCCUCUUUAUGUCUAUGCUAUCUUAUUGAGCAUAUCUAUAUAUGUGAAUUAUAUCAUAUUCAUACAUUAUAGGGAAAAGUGUUAUUAUGCAAUUGAAUUUCUGUCAAUGUAAAGAACAUGUGGGCCAUAGAAUAUGAACAUAGAACCCUAUAAAUAUGUGAACUUUACUGUGGACUAUAACAAUAAUAAACUUGGUGACAAUCUAA